Long non-coding RNA from Pezoporus flaviventris, 772 nucleotides. RefSeq lists it as uncharacterized. Lineage: Eukaryota; Metazoa; Chordata; Aves; Psittaciformes; Psittacidae. The record is from RefSeq and is a predicted model, not a curated record. The transcript has 3 exons.
UGUAAGCUGGUGAGGGAAAACAACAAGCACAAAGCUUAGAAGUAACUCUUUUUCUGUCUACACAUGAAUAGCUCCCUUAAAAGUAUUCUAGUGCAUAAGUAGGAGGCUGCAAACACUGGGAAGGAAUAAAGCCAGAAGUUCUUCUCCACAAAAACGAAGAGCUCCCAAAGUCACACAAACAGAAGGAACUGGGGAAAGGAGGGAAUGCCUUAGACACAGGUGUGGUAUAUGUGAUGCUUGAAACUAAACUGUAAAAACCUGACUUCAGCAUGAACGGGGAUGGAGAAGAGAUGGCAGGAUAUUGCUUGUCAUGCUUAUGUUAUUGAAAGCAAACAAUUUCCUUCAAAUGAAAACACAGGGGUUUCAGCCCUGCAGAUAUUAGUAUCUUGUUGGAGCCUGCCUUCAUUUUGGACCCCCCACUUUGAGACCAACUCAGACACCAGCUUUGAUAAGAACCACAUUUCUAAGAUGAGGUCUGUAUUCCAUCUAUAUUGUAUAAACAUGCUUUGAACCUUUUGCAAUAGCAUAGAGCUUAAAAAAGAAACAGAAAACAAUUAAACUUACUCUAAGUUGAUAGGAUCUCAGUUCAUAAAUAUUAGGCCCCGCUCUGGGAACAGGUUCAUUCCAGAAACUAAACUCCAACAACAACUGGUUCUUGCGGGACAGGAGCAUGUUACCUCUUUCUUUGCGGAACUCUGUGAAUUCCUAAAAACCAAUGGGAUCACUGUCAACGUGUGUGUUCUGUUUCAACAACAAAAAGCAGUCUACCAUG